UCUCGAUCUCCUCUCUCCAGAUCACUGAUCCGGUCCGGGGUGUCUCGAUCUCCUCUCUCCAGAUCACUGAUCCGGUCCCGGGUGUCCCGAUCUCUCUGUCCUCCAGAUCACUGAUCCGGUCCCGGGUGUCCCGAUCUCUCUGUCCUCCAGAUCACUGAUCCGGUCCAGGGUGUCCCGAUCUCCCCUCUCCAGAUCAGGGAUCCCCCUGCAGCCCCAGUCUGAGUGUUGGAUGAGACCAUUCAGAGAAGUCGGUGCCUGUGUCAUGAGCGGUAAACAGCAGGACCGCGCUGGGAAGAGGCGCCCGACAGCUGCUCCCGUUCCCCGC
Molecule: long non-coding RNA, 325 nt
Filed under: Lepisosteus oculatus (spotted gar)
Lineage: Eukaryota; Metazoa; Chordata; Actinopteri; Semionotiformes; Lepisosteidae
Description: lncRNA (ENSLOCG00000022652.1)
Source: RNAcentral